Molecule: ribosomal RNA, 406 nt
Filed under: uncultured bacterium
Lineage: Bacteria
Description: partial 16S ribosomal RNA
Rfam family: Bacterial small subunit ribosomal RNA
Source: RNAcentral
AUUGAACGCUGGCGGCAGGCCUAACACAUGCAAGUCGAACGAGUGGCGGACGGGUGCGUAAUGUCUGGGAAACUGCCUGAUGGAGGGGGAUAACUACUGGAAACGGUAGCUCAUACCGCAUACCAUCGGAUGUGCCCAGAUGGGAUUAGCUAGUAGGUGGGGUAACGGAUCACCUAGGCGACGAUCCCUAGCUGGUCUGAGAGGAUGACCAGCCAAACUGGAACGUAGACACGGUCCAGACGCAUACGGGAGUCAGCAGUGGGGAAUAUUGCACAAUGGGCGAAAGCCUGAUGCAGCCAUGCCGCGGUUAUGAAGAAGGCCUUCGGGUUGUAAAGUACUUUCAGCGGGGAGGCGUUACCCGCAGAAGAAGCACCGGCUAACUCCGUGCCAGCAGCCGCGGUAAUUC